Molecule: ribosomal RNA, 814 nt
Filed under: uncultured bacterium
Lineage: Bacteria
Description: bacterial SSU rRNA
Rfam family: Bacterial small subunit ribosomal RNA
Source: RNAcentral
CAAGUCGAACGAACCUUUCGGGGUUAGUGGCGGACGGGUGAGUAACGCGUGAGAAUCUGCCCUCAGGAGGGGGAUAACGACUGGAAACGGUCGCUAAUACCCCAUAUGCCGAGAGGUGAAAUGAAUUUCGCCUGAGGAUGAGCUCGCGUCUGAUUAGCUAGUUGGUGGGGUAAAGGCCUACCAAGGCGACGAUCAGUAGCUGGUCUGAGAGGAUGAUCAGCCACACUGGGACUGAGACACGGCCCAGACUCCUACGGGAGGCAGCAGUGGGGAAUUUUCCGCAAUGGGCGAAAGCCUGACGGAGCAACGCCGCGUGAGGGAUGAAGGCCUCUGGGCUGUAAACCUCUUUUCUCAAGGAAGAAGAUCUGACGGUACUUGAGGAAUAAGCCACGGCUAAUUCCGUGCCAGCAGCCGCGGUAAUACGGGAGUGGCAAGCGUUAUCCGGAAUUAUUGGGCGUAAAGCGUCCGCAGGCGGCCUUGUAAGUCUGUCGUUAAAGCGUGGAGCUUAACUCCAUUUCAGCGGUGGAAACUACAAGGCUUGAGUGUGGUAGGGGCAGAGGGAAUUCCCGGUGUAGCGGUGAAAUGCGUAGAUAUCGGGAAGAACACCAGUGGCGAAGGCGCUCUGCUGGGCCAUAACUGACGCUCAUGGACGAAAGCCAGGGGAGCGAAAGGGAUUAGAUACCCCUGUAGUCCUGGUCGUAAACGAUGAACACUAGGCGUCGGGGGAAUCGACCCCCUCGGUGUCGUAGCCAACGCGUUAAGUGUUCCGCCUGGGGAGUACGCACGCAAGUGUGAAACUCAAAGGAAUUGACGG